RNAcentral lists this ribosomal RNA (464 nucleotides) under uncultured bacterium. Its description in RNAcentral is "bacterial SSU rRNA". It matches the Rfam family "Bacterial small subunit ribosomal RNA", at positions 28 to 484 of the family's 1533-position model. The record is from RNAcentral.
GACGAACGCUGGCGGCGUGCCUAAUACAUGCAAGUCGAACGAGAGCGACCGGUGCUUGCACUGGUCAAUCUAGUGGCGAACGGGUGAGUAACACGUGGGUAACCUGCCCAUCAGAGGGGGAUAACAUCCGGAAACGGAUGCUAAAACCGCAUAGGUCUUCGAACCGCAUGGUUUGAAGAGGAAAAGAGGCGCAAGCUUCUGCUGAUGGAUGGACCCGCGGUGCAUUAGCUAGUUGGUGAGGUAACGGCUCACCAAGGCCGUGAUGCAUAGCCGACCUGAGAGGGUGAUCGGCCACGUUGGGACUGAGACACGGCCCAAACUCCUACGGGAGGCAGCAGUAGGGAAUCUUCCGCAAUGGACGCAAGUCUGACGGAGCAACGCCGCGUGAGUGAAGAAGGUUUUCGGAUCGUAAAACUCUGUUGUUAGAGAAGAACAAGUGCUAGAGUAACNGUUAGCGCCUGACG